UACGGGGGGGGCAAGCGUUGUUCGGAAUUACUGGGCGUAAAGGGCUCGUAGGCGGCCAACUAAGUCAGACGUGAAAUCCCUCGGCUUAACCGGGGAACUGCGUCUGAUACUGGAUGGCUAGAGAUUGGGAGAGGGAUGCGGAAUUCCAGGUGUAGCGGUGAAAUGCGUAGAUAUCUGGAGGAACACCGGUGGCGAAGGCGGCAUCCUGGACCGACACUGACACUGAGGAGCGAAAGCCAGGGGAGCAAACGGG
RNAcentral lists this ribosomal RNA (253 nucleotides) under uncultured bacterium. Its description in RNAcentral is "partial 16S ribosomal RNA". It matches the Rfam family "Bacterial small subunit ribosomal RNA", at positions 524 to 776 of the family's 1533-position model. The record is from RNAcentral.